Molecule: transfer RNA, 67 nt
Filed under: Marmota monax (woodchuck)
Lineage: Eukaryota; Metazoa; Chordata; Mammalia; Rodentia; Sciuridae
Description: tRNA.Ala
Source: RNAcentral
GGCUGUGGCUCAGUGGUACAGCACUUGCCUAGCAUGUGUGAGGCCUUGGGUUCAAACCUCAUCAUCA